Molecule: ribosomal RNA, 395 nt
Filed under: uncultured bacterium
Lineage: Bacteria
Description: partial 16S ribosomal RNA
Rfam family: Bacterial small subunit ribosomal RNA
Source: RNAcentral
AUACGUAGGGUGCAAGCGUUAAUCGGAAUUACUGGGCGUAAAGCGUGCGCAGGCGGUUUUGUAAGACAGUGGUGAAAUCCCCGGGCUCAACCUGGGAACUGCCAUUGUGACUGCAAGGCUGGAGUGUGGCAGAGGGGGAUGGAAUUCCGCGUGUAGCAGUGAAAUGCGUAGAUAUGCGGAGGAACACCGAUGGCGAAGGCAAUCCCCUGGGCCUGCACUGACGCUCAUGCACGAAAGCGUGGGGAGUAAACAGGAUUAGAUACCCUGGUAGUCCACGCCCUAAACGAUGUCAACUGGUUGUUGGGGAUUUAUUUUCUCAGUAACGAAGCUAACGCGUGAAGUUGACCGCCUGGGGAGUACGGCCGCAAGGUUAAAACUUAAAGGAAUUGACGGGG